AGAGAGAGAGAGAGAGAGAGAGAGAGAGGCGAUGAGGCCUGGGACACGGAGAAAGAAACAGAGAAAAAGGAGGAAGGAAGAUGAAGCGGCCUUCAGCAUAAGCACGAAAAAAGCCUUUCCCAGGAACUCUCGAUAUCAGACCAUUCUUUCUCGAGGUAGAGAGGAACAGAGACAGAGUUCGUAAGAGGGAGAACCGUCAGACUCCUGUGACCCCACGAAAUCCUGCGACGCUUGAAGAGAAAGAACAGAAGCCUGCCGCCACCAGUCAGCCAGCGAAACCACUACCGGUAAAACGGUAAAACUGAUUUCUUUCGUUUUCCCUUUCAGUUGUAGUGCUUUGGAUUUUAUUUCUUAAUCUUCUUCUCCUUCUGAGGGAAAAUUUGUUUGUUAAAAAAAAAAAAACUCUGCCAUUUUUUUUCUACCGUUUGGAGGAGAAUG
This is a long non-coding RNA of Quercus robur (English oak), 438 nucleotides long. RefSeq lists it as uncharacterized. The transcript is spliced from 3 exons. Lineage: Eukaryota; Viridiplantae; Streptophyta; Magnoliopsida; Fagales; Fagaceae. The record is from RefSeq and is a predicted model, not a curated record.